RNAcentral lists this small RNA (160 nucleotides) under Virgibacillus chiguensis. RNAcentral's name for it is "c-di-AMP sequence". It matches the Rfam family "c-di-AMP riboswitch aptamer (ydaO/yuaA leader)". From Rfam's summary of the family: This family represents a conserved RNA structure found upstream of the ydaO and yuaA genes in Bacillus subtilis and related genes in other bacteria. The ydaO/yuaA element is thought to act as a genetic "off" switch for the ydaO and yuaA genes in its native state. Lineage: Bacteria; Bacillati; Bacillota; Bacilli; Caryophanales; Bacillaceae. The record is from RNAcentral.
UAUGAACCUUUGCUGAAUCUUGUUUUGAACGGGGGAACCACAGGAAUUUGGUCGUAGAAAUGAUUUAUUGCGGCCUUGGGGUGAAUUCUCAUAAUAGAGAAAGGGGUGCUCUCCAUCCCGAACCCGACAGCUAACCUCGUAAGCGUAUGUAAUAUUAGGA